Molecule: unclassified non-coding RNA, 344 nt
Filed under: soil metagenome
Description: partial contains 5.8S ribosomal RNA, internal transcribed spacer 2, and large subunit ribosomal RNA
Rfam family: 5.8S ribosomal RNA (bases 1-119)
Source: RNAcentral
GAUGAAGAACGUAGUGAAUGCGAUACGUAAUGUGAAUUGCAGAAUUCAGUGAAUCAUCGAGUCUUUGAACGCACAUUGCGCCCCCUGGUAUUCCGGGGGGCAUGCCUGUCCGAGCGUCAUUGCUGCCCUCAAGCACGGCUUGUGUGUUGGGCCUCCGUCCUCCUCCCGGGGGACGGGCCCGAAAGGCAGCGGCGGCACCGCGUCCGGUCCUCGAGCGUAUGGGGCUUCGUCACCCGCUCUUGUAGGCCCGGCCGGCGCUUGCCGACACAUCAAUCUUUUUUCCAGGUUGACCUCGGAUCAGGUAGGGAUACCCGCUGAACUUAAGCAUAUCAAUAAGCGGAGGA